GAUGAACGCUGGCGGCGUGCCUAAUACAUGCAAGUCGAGCGAACGGACGAGAAGCUUGCUUCUCUGAUGUUAGCGGCGGACGGGUGAGUAACACGUGGAUAACCUACCUAUAAGACUGGGAUAACUUCGGGAAACCGGAGCUAAUACCGGAUGAUAUUUUGAACCGCAUGGUUCAAAAGUGAAAGACGGUCUUGCUGUCACUUAUAGAUGGAUCCGCGCUGCAUUAGCUAGUUGGUAAGGUAACGGCUUACCAAGGCAACGAUGCAUAGCCGACCUGAGAGGGUGAUCGGCCACACUGGAACUGAGACACGGUCCAGACUCCUACGGGAGGCAGCAGUAGGGAAUCUUCCGCAAUGGGCGAAAGCCUGACGGAGCAACGCCGCGUGAGUGAUGAAGGUCUUCGGAUCGUAAAACUCUGUUAUUAGGGAAGAACAUAUGUGUAAGUAACUGUGCACAUCUUGACGGUACCUAAUCAGAAAGCCACGGCUAACUACGUGCCAGCAGCCGCGGUAAUACGUAGGUGGCAAGCGUUAUCCGGAAUUAUUGGGCGUAAAGCGCGCGUAGGCGGUUUUUUAAGUCUGAUGUGAAAGCCCACGGCUCAACCGUGGAGGGUCAUUGGAAACUGGAAAACUUGAGUGCAGAAGAGGAAAGUGGAAUUCCAUGUGUAGCGGUGAAAUGCGCAGAGAUAUGGAGGAACACCAGUGGCGAAGGCGACUUUCUGGUCUGUAACUGACGCUGAUGUGCGAAAGCGUGGGGAUCAAACAGGAUUAGAUACCCUGGUAGUCCACGCCGUAAACGAUGAGUGCUAAGUGUUAGGGGGUUUCCGCCCCUUAGUGCUGCAGCUAACGCAUUAAGCACUCCGCCUGGGGAGUACGACCGCAAGGUUGAAACUCAAAGGAAUUGACGGGGACCCGCACAAGCGGUGGAGCAUGUGGUUUAAUUCGAAGCAACGCGAAGAACCUUACCAAAUCUUGACAUCCUUUGACAACUCUAGAGAUAGAGCCUUCCCCUUCGGGGGACAAGGUGACAGGUGGUGCAUGGUUGUCGUCAGCUCGUGUCGUGAGAUGUUGGGUUAAGUCCCGCAACGAGCGCAACCCUUAAGCUUAGUUGCCAUCAUUAAGUUGGGCACUCUAAGUUGACUGCCGGUGACAAACCGGAGGAAGGUGGGGAUGACGUCAAAUCAUCAUGCCCCUUAUGAUUUGGGCUACACACGUGCUACAAUGGACAAUACAAAGGGCAGCGAAACCGCGAGGUCAAGCAAAUCCCAUAAAGUUGUUCUCAGUUCGGAUUGUAGUCUGCAACUCGACUACAUGAAGCUGGAAUCGCUAGUAAUCGUAGAUCAGCAUGCUACGGUGAAUACGUUCCCGGGUCU
This 1372-nucleotide ribosomal RNA is filed under the name uncultured bacterium. RNAcentral's name for it is "bacterial SSU rRNA". It matches the Rfam family "Bacterial small subunit ribosomal RNA", at positions 28 to 1381 of the family's 1533-position model. The record is from RNAcentral.